GAAGGAUACUAAAAAUGAAAAGCCAGGCUGCAAACCCCAGGGGAGAAACAUGACAAGGAAAGAGCCUGCAGAGAACAGUGCCUUUGCAUGUACAGGUCUGUCUGCAGGAACAUUCUGCUGACUUCUGUCCAUCCCUUUUCACUCAGCUUUCGUCAAUCCAACUGAUUUUCAGUCCACAGACCCCAAGCCUGCAGGAAGCUCUUCAGAGACUAAGUAAGCCCUUGUAGCAAGCCUGAAAAGGUAAAUGUAAUUACGGAUGCCUAUCAUAAUGUGACCAAAAGCAACCUUAUAACAUUUAGCAAGCUGGAAAUAAUAUUGUGUAUCUUCUUUGCUAUUAUAAAAAAUGCACCUUCAUGGAUUUCUUUUUUACUGCAAAGGAAAAGGAAAUGAAAAGAUAAUUUAUGAAUAGCAUUGAA
RNAcentral lists this long non-coding RNA (416 nucleotides) under Homo sapiens (human). RNAcentral's name for it is "HSALNT0330585". Lineage: Eukaryota; Metazoa; Chordata; Mammalia; Primates; Hominidae. The record is from RNAcentral.